This 1070-nucleotide long non-coding RNA is filed under the name Chinchilla lanigera (long-tailed chinchilla). RNAcentral's name for it is "lncRNA (ENSCLAG00000025125.1)". The record is from RNAcentral. Lineage: Eukaryota; Metazoa; Chordata; Mammalia; Rodentia; Chinchillidae.
GAGGGGGUGAGAGAAGCCGAAAUGAGGCGCUCAUCCUGCCGAAGCGAGGAUGCCAUUUGAUUUGUAGGCAGCUCUUUGGAAUCUCAACGUUUUAUAAAGUUUACCACUACAAGUUUCUCUGAAUGCUCAUUUCUGAAGGAGGCCAGGGCCUCUGUACAUGGCUAUGCAGAUGGAGCAUUGUACAAUUCCAGCUGAUAUACGUGAUGCCCCUCACCGCUUUUCACCACCCUAUGACCUGUUACCCUUCCUUCUUUGUUUUAAAAUGCUUAAAAAAAAAAAAGACUUUCAAAUGAACCUUUAAAAGAACAGAAACUUACUGCGUGUAGUGGCACACACCUGUGAUCCCAGCUACAUGUGAGUCUAGGCCAGGAAGAUUGCAAAUGGUGCAAGACCAGUCUCAACAACUUAGCAAGACCUUAUCUUGAAGUUUACUAAUGGGGAGGGGUGGAUGUAGCUCAGUGUUCACUGGGUUCAAUCCCCAUUGCUGCCUAAAUAAACAAAUAAAUAGUAGAGACUUGGGGCAGGUAGAGUGAAUGAAUCAUCCCAAUGAUACUGUCUGUAGGAAGAGAGCUUCAUUUCUCUGGCCUCAGUUUCCUCAAUCAUGUAGACAGGGAUCUAGGACCCAACUACUUUUUACGUUACUGACUUAGAUGAAGUGGUAAGUGUUCACUACUAAAUCGGAGAAAACAUCAACCAAGACAGAGCUAAAAUUCUCUGGACAGUGGCAUUUUGUGUUCAUAGUGAAGAGUAGGGCCCGGGUCAGUUCAAAAGAGGCAAUCAACUUAUGUUAAAUGGAGCUGUGUGUUUUAAUGAUUUAUUUUUGGGAAUGAAACAAUUUGGGAAAUGCUUCUGCUCAUUGUCCUGGAUGUCCACACCUUGAGAUAACAGUCACUAAGGCUGAUUCUGAGACCUCAUUACAAAGCACAGUACAAAGUUCUUAUCCUUGGCAAUGAUUAGUAUGAAACAUAGCUUGGGAGGAAUGGCUAACAGUUAAUAAGAGGAGACUGAUGUAUGUCUGAUUACUGAGAUGUACAUCUACUAAGUGACAUACUGGUGGGAUGUCUCUGCAG